GACGAACCGAGCGAACGUUAUUCGGAAUCACUGGGCUUAAAGGGCGCGUAGGCGGGCGAUCAAGUCAGGGGUGAAAGCCUCCAGCUCAACUGGAGAAGUGCCUCUGAUACUGGUUGCCUCGAGGGAGGUAGGGGCGUGCGGAACUUCCGGUGGAGCGGUGAAAUGCGUAGAUAUCGGAAGGAACACCGGUGGCGAAAGCGGCGCGCUGGACCUCUUCUGACGCUGAGGCGCGAAAGCCAGGGGAGCAAACGGG
RNAcentral lists this ribosomal RNA (253 nucleotides) under uncultured bacterium. Its description in RNAcentral is "partial 16S ribosomal RNA". It matches the Rfam family "Bacterial small subunit ribosomal RNA", at positions 524 to 776 of the family's 1533-position model. The record is from RNAcentral.